This 609-nucleotide ribosomal RNA is filed under the name Parcubacteria group bacterium GW2011_GWB1_57_6. RNAcentral's name for it is "bacterial LSU rRNA". It matches the Rfam family "Bacterial large subunit ribosomal RNA", at positions 19 to 536 of the family's 2925-position model. The record is from RNAcentral.
GCACGGUGGAUGCCUUGGCCUAGGACGGCUAAGAAGGACGCGACUAACCUGCGAAAAGCUUCGGGGAGGCGUGUUGAACUGUAAUCCGCGGGGUAACGCCCGUGUGAAGCGAACCCGGGGAAGUGAAACAUCUCAGUACCCGGAGGAAAAGAGAACAAGAGGAGUUGCGUUCCGCUGGCGCGUAUGUUCGUGCCAGAGGAACGCAACUCUCGUGAUACCCCAAGUAGCGGCGAGCGAAAAGGGAAAAGCCCAAACCACGUGGGAUAACAGUGUUCGAAUCAGUACCGACUCGAAUGGCAAAAAAGCUUUUGGAGUUCGUGCGAGAUUUUGACAGUGUUAUCCCACGUGGGGUUGUAAGAUGUGAGCAUCGUACUUGUACGAGAAGAGUUAUCAAUCGUCUGUGUAGCGGAAACUGCUGGGAAGCAGUGCCACAGAGGGUAAUGGCCCCGUACGCGAAAUGCAUGACGACUCUUGCUCAUAUUCUUGAGUAACUCGAGACAUGAAUAGCUCGAGUGAAUCUGCCGGAACUAACCGGUAAGGCUAAAUACGUCCUAUGACCGAUAGUGAACUAGUACCGUGAGGGAAAGGUGAAAAGAACCCCGAGAGGGG